Molecule: non-coding RNA, 255 nt
Organism: Pelobates cultripes (western spadefoot toad)
Lineage: Eukaryota; Metazoa; Chordata; Amphibia; Anura; Pelobatidae
Source: the annotation of a GenBank genome assembly
GCCAGCCUGCCUGCCAACCAGUCACAGCAGCUAGCCAGCAACAGUAAUUAAGGUGAGAAGAGACAGAUUGAGCUGGGUAUUACAGAGCUUUGUUAUAUCACUAUAUUGUGAAUGUGGGCCAGCAUUUUAGAGAAAACAAUCUCCCAGGCUCUUUAGACUCCAUUAUAGUCUCUAAUGGGACCUUGAUGGGACUUUUAUUAAAGGACCACUAUAGUCACCCAGACAAGUUCAGCUCAAUGAAGUGGUCUGGGUGCC